GAAGACACGUACACACAGUACGUGUGUGUGUGCUGUACUCAUCGCCAAAUGGCAGCCAAGUUUAGCUCAUGGAAGCAAGUCGGGUUUUGUUCCGCAGCUCGGUCGCCGGCAUCGGACUCGAACAGCGAUGCUGGUGCUAUCAUAGGAGCAUGCAGUUCCAUGAGCCUUUGGCUCAAGUCGUCUUCUUCACGGUGCAAGCUUCGGAUCUGGUUGCUGAAACCUGCAUGUAGA
Molecule: long non-coding RNA, 231 nt
Filed under: Musa acuminata (dwarf banana)
Lineage: Eukaryota; Viridiplantae; Streptophyta; Magnoliopsida; Zingiberales; Musaceae
Description: long non-coding RNA (MACU_LNC000360)
Source: RNAcentral